Molecule: ribosomal RNA, 253 nt
Filed under: uncultured bacterium
Lineage: Bacteria
Description: partial 16S ribosomal RNA
Rfam family: Bacterial small subunit ribosomal RNA
Source: RNAcentral
UACAGAGGUCUCAAGCGUUGUUCGGAUUCAUUGGGCGUAAAGGGUGCGUAGGUGGCGCUGUAAGUCGGGUGUGAAAUUUCGGAGCUUAACUCCGAAACUGCAUUCGAUACUGCGGUGCUUGAGGACUGGAGAGGAGACUGGAAUUCAUGGUGUAGCAGUGAAAUGCGUAGAGAUCAUGAGGAAGACCAGUGGCGAAGGCGGGUCUCUGGACAGUUCCUGACACUGAGGAACGAAAGCGUGGGGAGCGAACAGG